AACUAUGCAGAGCAAGAUAUUUUGGUCCUCAAACUAUGCAGAGCAAGAUAUUUUGGUCCUCAAACUUUAUUUUAUUAUAAUUUUUAUUUGAAUUUUUAAAUUAUUAUAAUUAAGUUUAAUAAUUUAGUUUAGUUGGCUAAAUAUUGACAAAUUAUUGAUAUAAAAGUAAUAUACAAGUAUUGUGAUAGAUGAUUUGACAAUAAUUAAGGUACUAUAUCACUCCUACAUCAGCAAUUUAUCAAUUUAUCAGUAUUUAGUCAACUAAAUUGGAUUGCGGUUGAUUAUAAUAAUUCAGAAAGUUCGAGUUAGAAAUUACAAUAAAUUAAAAUUUGACGACAAGAGUAUUCAGCACCUUAUAGUU
RNAcentral lists this long non-coding RNA (361 nucleotides) under Ananas comosus (pineapple). RNAcentral's name for it is "long non-coding RNA (ACOM_LNC002312)". Lineage: Eukaryota; Viridiplantae; Streptophyta; Magnoliopsida; Poales; Bromeliaceae. The record is from RNAcentral.